GACAGAGGGGGCAAGCGUUGCUCGGAAUCACUGGGCGUAAAGGGCGCGUAGGCGGGAUGGCAAGUCGGUCGUGAAAUCUCUCGGCUCAACCGAGAAACGUCGGCCGAUACUGCCGUUCUUGAGGGAUGCAGAGGAGACUGGAAUUCCCGGUGUAGCGGUGAAAUGCGUAGAUAUCGUGAGGAAGACCAGUGGCGAAGGCGGAUCUCUGGACAGCUCCUGACGCUGAGGCGCGAAGGCUAGGGGAGCAAACGGG
RNAcentral lists this ribosomal RNA (253 nucleotides) under uncultured bacterium. RNAcentral describes it as "partial 16S ribosomal RNA". It matches the Rfam family "Bacterial small subunit ribosomal RNA", at positions 524 to 776 of the family's 1533-position model. The record is from RNAcentral.